This 427-nucleotide ribosomal RNA is filed under the name uncultured bacterium. RNAcentral's name for it is "partial 16S ribosomal RNA". It matches the Rfam family "Bacterial small subunit ribosomal RNA", at positions 355 to 774 of the family's 1533-position model. The record is from RNAcentral.
UGGGGAAUAUUGCACAAUGGGCGCAAGCCUGAUGCAGCCAUGCCGCGUGUAUGAAGAAGGCCUUCGGGUUGUAAAGUACUUUCAGCGGGGAGGAAGGUGUUGUGGUUAAUAACCACAGCAAUUGACGUUACCCGCAGAAGAAGCACCGGCUAACUCCGUGCCAGCAGCCGCGGUAAUACGGAGGGUGCAAGCGUUAAUCGGAAUUACUGGGCGUAAAGCGCACGCAGGCGGUCUGUCAAGUCGGAUGUGAAAUCCCCGGGCUCAACCUGGGAACUGCAUCCGAAACUGGCAGGCUUGAGUCUUGUAGAGGGGGGUAGAAUUCCAGGUGUAGCGGCGAAAUGCGUAGAGAUCUGGAGGAAUACCGGUGGCGAAGGCGGCCCCCUGGACAAAGACUGACGCUCAGGUGCGAAAGCGUGGGGAGCAAACA